Molecule: long non-coding RNA, 630 nt
Filed under: Rattus norvegicus (Norway rat)
Lineage: Eukaryota; Metazoa; Chordata; Mammalia; Rodentia; Muridae
Description: long non-coding RNA NONRATT004973
Source: RNAcentral
GAGGUCAGGGAUGGUGAUUCCCCCAGAAGUUCUUUUAUUGUUGAAAACAGUUUUUGCUAACUUGGGUUUUUUGUUAAUCCAAAUGAUUACACAUGGACUGACCCAUGGCUCCAGCUGUAUAUGUAGCAGAGGAUGGGCCUUGUUGGGCAUCAAUGGGAGAAGUCCUUGGUCCUGUAAAGGCUUGAUGCCCCAGUGUAGGGGAAUGUCAGGGUCGGGAGGCAGAAGGGAGUGGGCGUGUGGCAUGGGGAGUACCCUCAUGGAGGCAGGGGUUGGAGGAUGGGAUGGAGGAUUUCCGGAGGGGAAACUGAGAAAGGGGAUAACAUUUGAAAUGCACAUAAAGAAAAUAUCCAAUAAAAGAAAAGGAAAAAAGGAAAAAAAUGGUUAUUAUGAUCAUUUUACCAUGACCACCUUGUUCUGAUCACAUCUUUGUUUCAGAAAGUUGUUAGGACAAACUUAUACACAAACACCUAUUUUCCUGUCUAAUCUCCCAUUUGGAAACCUCUACUCCUGAACUAUAAAAACUCAUCUUUCCCAUGUGUAAUGUGGACCUCAGGAUCCCUACCUUUAGGGAGAGACAGCUCAUGUCCUUGAAUAAUAAAAUAAAAUAAAACUUAAAAAAAAAAAGAAAGA